Molecule: long non-coding RNA, 275 nt
Filed under: Hordeum vulgare
Lineage: Eukaryota; Viridiplantae; Streptophyta; Magnoliopsida; Poales; Poaceae
Description: long non-coding RNA (HVUL_LNC019683)
Source: RNAcentral
GAUAAUUAGCCAAUUUAGCCUUUCUUGGAUCAGUCUAAGCUACGUAGAAGAAGAGAUAGAGAAGAAGAAGUAAAAUAAGGAGGAGGAGGAGGAGGAGGAGGAGAAGAAGAAGGAAGAGGAGAAGAAGAAGAAAACAAGAAGGAGAAGGAGAAGAAGAAGGAGAAGGAGAAGGAGGAAGAAGGAGGAAGAAGAAGGNNNNNNNNNNCAAUUGGCUAAUUUAGCCUUUCUUGGAUCAGUCUAAGCUACGUAGAAGAAGAGAUAGAGAAGAAGAAGGA